RNAcentral lists this long non-coding RNA (204 nucleotides) under Mytilus galloprovincialis (Mediterranean mussel). The record is from RNAcentral. Lineage: Eukaryota; Metazoa; Mollusca; Bivalvia; Mytilida; Mytilidae.
CAUGUCGGUAUCUUAGUUGGCAACAAAGGAGUAAAGAGGCCAAUUGAGCUGAAAGCUCACUUGGCCCUAUCAUGUAAAUAUAGAUUGAAAUUAUAACAGAUACUCUAAAUAAUGAUUCAGGCAAAAUUUGGUUUAAUAUUGGCUCGGUAAAUUAAUAAAAAAUCAUGGUGGCCAUCUUGGAAUGUCAGUAAAUUGGCAACAAAG